UUCCGGUUGAUCCUGCCGGACCCGACUGCUAUCGGAUUGAGAUUUAGCCAUGCGAGUCGAACGCCUUCCUGUUGCGGGAGGCGUGGCGUACGGCUCAGUAACACGUAGUCAACCUGCCCUAGAGACAUGAAUAACCCCGGGAAACUGGGAUUAAUACAUGAUAGAUCAUCUCAUCUGGAAGGAGAGAUGGUUUAAAGGGGUGCGCGAGCUUCUUUUGUGCAUCCGCUCUAGGAUGGGACUGCGGCCGAUCAGGCUGUUGGUGGGGUAAUGGCCCACCAAACCUGUAACCGGUACGGGCCUUGAGAGAGGGGGCCCGGAGAUGGACACUGAGAGAAGGGUCCAGGUCCUACGGGGCGCAGCAGGCGCGAAACCUUCGCAAUGCGCGAAAGCGUGACGAGGUUAAUCCGAGUGGUUCCCGCUGAGGGAAUCUUUUGUUGGCUCUAAAAUGGCCAGUGAAUAAGGGGAGGGCAAGUCUGGUGUCAGCCGCCGCGGUAAUACCAGCUCCUCGAGUGGUCGGGGCGAUUAUUGGGCCUAAAGCAUCCGUAGCCUGUUCUGUAGGUCUUCUGUUAAAUCCAACGGCUUAACCGUUGGCCUGCAGAAGAUACCGCAGGACUAGGAAGCGGGAGAGGUGGACGGUACUCCACGUGUAGGGGUAAAAUCCUUUGAUCCGUGGAAGACCACCAGUGGCGAAGGCGGUCCACCAGAACGCGCUCGACGGUGAGGGAUGAAAGCUGGGGGAGCGAACCGGAUUAGAUACCCGGGUAGUCCCAGCCGUAAACGAUGCGAGCUAGAUGAUCCAAUCGCAAAUCGCGAUUGGAGUGUCGCAGGGAAGCCGUUAAGCUCGCCGCCUGGGGAGUACGGUCGCAAGACUGAAACUUAAAGGAAUUGGCGGG
RNAcentral lists this ribosomal RNA (893 nucleotides) under uncultured crenarchaeote. RNAcentral's name for it is "bacterial SSU rRNA". It matches the Rfam family "Archaeal small subunit ribosomal RNA", at positions 1 to 872 of the family's 1478-position model. The record is from RNAcentral. Lineage: Archaea; Thermoproteati; Thermoproteota.